CUGGUUGGAGGGUCGGGUAACUAGUCAAGGAAGUAUUUUCUCUGUUCUCUUUAAGUCAGUCGUAAACAGAUUCCAUCUUGUCCUUUUUCCCUCUCUCUCUCUCUCAGCAAUCUACCUUGUGUUCAAUCAGUAAAACAGCACUACCUCCUAAAAUGAGUCUCUCAGAAGUGAACGAGGCAGGCGCUGACGCAAACAGGCGUAUCUUUCAGGACCGUGACGCUGUAAAAGAGGCCGAAAGCUGUCUGUCCAUGAAGAGUGACCAGUCU
Oncorhynchus gorbuscha (pink salmon) is the source of this 266-nucleotide long non-coding RNA. RefSeq lists it as uncharacterized. Lineage: Eukaryota; Metazoa; Chordata; Actinopteri; Salmoniformes; Salmonidae. The transcript has 3 exons. The record is from RefSeq and is a predicted model, not a curated record.